GGCCCAAAUUCCUACGGGAGGCUGCAGUAGGGAUCUUCCACAAUGGGCGAAAGCCUGAUGGAGCAACGCCGCGUGUGUGAUGAAGGCUUUCGGGUCGUAAAGCACUGUUGUAUGGGAAGAAAAGUUAAGGUAGGGAAUGACCUUAGCCUGACGGUACCAUACCAGAAAGGGACGGCUAAAUACGUGCCAGCAGCCGCGGUAAUACGUAUGUCCCGAGCGUUAUCCGGAUUUAUUGGGCGUAAAGCGAGCGCAGACGGUUGGUUAAGUCUGAUGUGAAAGCCCGGAGCUCAACUCCGGAAAGGCAUUGGAAACUGGUUAACUUGAGUGCAGUAGAGGUAAGUGGAACUCCAUGUGUAGCGGUGGAAUGCGUAGAUAUAUGGAAGAACACCAGCGGCGAAGGCGGCUUACUGGACUGUAACUGACGUUGAGGCUCGAAAGUGUGGGUAGCAAACAGGAUUAGAUACCCUGGUAGUCCACACCGUAAACGAUGAACACUAGGUGUUAGGAGGUUUCCGCCUCUUAGUGCCGAAGCUAACGCAUUAAGUGUUCCGCCUGGGGAGUACGACCGCAAGGUUGAAACUCAAAGGAAUUGACGGGGACCCGCACAAGCGGUGGAGCAUGUGGUUUAAUUCGAAGCAACGCGAAGAACCUUACCAGGUCUUGACAUCCUUUGAAGCUUUUAGAAAUAGAAGUGUUCUCUUCGGAGACAAAGUGACAGGUGGUGCAUGGUCGUCGUCAGCUCGUGUCGUGAGAUGUUGGGUUAAGUCCCGCAACGAGCGCAACCCUUAUUGUUAGUUGCCAGCAUUCAGAUGGGCACUCUAGCGAGACUGCCGGUGACAAACCGGAGGAAGGCGGGGACGACGUCAGAUCAUCAUGCCCCUUAUGACCUGGGCUACACACGUGCUACAAUGGCGUAUACAACGAGUUGCCAACCUGCGAAGGUGAGCUAAUCUCUUAAAGUACGUCUCAGUUCGGACUGCAGUCUGCAACUCGACUGCACGAAGUCGGAAUCGCUAGUAAUCGCGGAUCAGCACGCCGCGGUGAAUACGUUCCCGGGUCUUGUACACACCGCCCGUCACACCAUGGAAGUUUGUAAUGCCCAAAGCCGGUGGCCUAACCGUAAGGAGGGAACCGUCUAAGGCAG
RNAcentral lists this ribosomal RNA (1144 nucleotides) under Leuconostoc carnosum. RNAcentral's name for it is "bacterial SSU rRNA". It matches the Rfam family "Bacterial small subunit ribosomal RNA", at positions 328 to 1465 of the family's 1533-position model. The record is from RNAcentral. Lineage: Bacteria; Bacillati; Bacillota; Bacilli; Lactobacillales; Lactobacillaceae.